Long non-coding RNA from Choloepus didactylus (southern two-toed sloth), 1233 nucleotides. RefSeq lists it as uncharacterized. The record is from RefSeq and is a predicted model, not a curated record. Lineage: Eukaryota; Metazoa; Chordata; Mammalia; Pilosa; Megalonychidae. The transcript has 3 exons.
AGAGACUUUCUCUGCAGAUCUCUGAGGCCUUUGGCUUGCCAGCAUUGCUCUAAAACUGCCAUCUGCCAUCCGUCUUUGAGCCUGGCCAGAGGGAAAAUCACCACUGGAGGUUUAUCCUAAAGGACCAAGACGACUCUCCAUCUCUUUCCCUAAUGACGCCAUUAAAACUUCCUUUUGACCCGCUUGCUGUGAGUAGAACCAGGAACUAUCUACACACGCAGCGCUCCACUAAGCUGAUUGCGUUUUUCAAAGAGGGCCUGACUGCAUCUCCCUCUGGGAUGGCUUUAACCAAUAAAAUGCAGCAAAACUGAUGGUGGACGUAACACUUAACUGGCUGGCAGGGUCCACUCUGCCUGCUUCAGCUCUGAGCCGUCGUAUAAGAAGUCCAGGUUACUCAGUGGGAGACAGCAGCCACGGGGAGGAGCACUGAGGCACUGGACAGGAAGGAAAGAAGCCGUCUUGGACCCCUUCACAUGCCUCCAGCCCUAGCCCUUCCCUAAACGCAAUCACAUGAGGGACCCCAAGGGAGAAUCACCCAGCUAAGGCCAGUCAACCCACAGGUCCCUGAGAGAUCAUGAUAAAUGGUUGUUUUAAGCCUCUAAGUUUUGCUUUGUUUUAUGGAUUGACUCAUGAACCCCAAAAGACAUGUUAGGGUCUUAACCCCGGUCAUAUGGCCAUGAAACCCUUUGUAAGUAGCAUCUUCAAAGAUAUUAUUAGUUGAGGUGAGACCAAACUGAGUCAGGGCAGGUCCUAAUCCUAUAUAACGGGAGUCUUUGUGAGCAGGAAGUUCAGACACAGACGGGGAGAGACAGCCAAGUGACAGAGGCAAAGACUGAGCCGUGGAUGGCCGGCAAACCGCGUCCAGGCUGCCACAGACUUCAGAGAAAGCACGAACCUGCUGACAUCUUGAUUUUGGACUUUGAGUCUCCCAGACUGCGAGACAAUACAUUCCUGUUGUUUAAGCAAUAAAUCCACACUUGUUUAAAUCUGUAGUAUUUGUCAUAGCAGCUCUGACUCAUAAGACAGUUCAUUUACUGCAAUAGAUACCCAAGGCACCACUUUGUGUAUCCCUGUUUCUCAUUUUAUGUCACAGUAAAGCUUUCUGUGCUUUAACAAUUAAGAUAUUAUAAACUAGCAAUAAAAAUAUUUCUGCUCAUGAUUUCUACUUUAAUGAUUGCCUGCAUAUAUAGUUAGUGUAUUAUUGUUAAUUUUAUGUUUUAUGCAUAGUAAAUA